Molecule: long non-coding RNA, 599 nt
Filed under: Marmota monax (woodchuck)
Lineage: Eukaryota; Metazoa; Chordata; Mammalia; Rodentia; Sciuridae
Source: RNAcentral
AUGGCUUGUUUUUAAGAAGCUCCUCUGAAUUAUUGAUAGAUUUCAGAUGUUUUUGUUUAUAAUCUGCAUUCUUAGAAAGCAUUCAGUCAACAAAUACUUACUUAGUACUGACUACAUAUUAAGCACAUGGAUUGGUUCAACUCUCGUGUCCUUUCCAAAUUAUAGAGCAUUCUUUUCUGUGUUCAAAUGAGUACAUUAUUUAGAAAUCACACUUCUAGGUACAAGAUCUGUUAAAAGAAAAAGUGCCGACAUCUGACUUCCGUGCCUAGUUAAGAGGUAUUCUGUUUGCUGGGAUGGUAUGAUACCUUUAACCUUACAUUUUUGUAUUUGUAAGCUCUUUUUUGUGUUUUUUGUUUUAGUAGAUUUUUCUUUCUGAGCUACUUGGAAACAUUGACAUGGGAAAGAAAGAAUAGUUAUAAGAUUUCCUUGGCUGGUAUGCUUCUUGUGGUUUUUGUUAUAGAUUUUGAAUAUUAUUGGACAGAUUUUGCAGAAAAAGUCUUUGUAGGAAAGACACAAACUGACAAGAGCACUGACAUAUUUUGAGCUGGCCCUAAUGAUCUAGAAGUCUAUUAUGUUCUGUCCUUUCUUGUAACAUUCUC